Non-coding RNA from Cinara cedri, 253 nucleotides. NCBI's taxonomy places the organism in Eukaryota, Metazoa, Arthropoda, Insecta, Hemiptera, Aphididae. The record is from the annotation of a GenBank genome assembly.
GUUUACAAAACACGAGGAUCAGAAGCAUUUAAUCACUAAUCGGUUAGCAUUACUCUUUUACUGCAAAUAAGUAAAUACUGAAUAGUAAUAAUCAUAACACCAAGUAGAAGUGACUCAUGAAUCAUAAUUUAUCAUGGUAGCAGUUAUUUCCACGACUACUUAUUUAGUUUUAAUCACUAUUAAAGAUAUCUAUAAAAUGGAGAUGAGGUUAUUCCAAAAAAUGAUAACACAUGUUAAUAAAUAAAUAUAAUGU